Molecule: ribosomal RNA, 253 nt
Filed under: uncultured bacterium
Lineage: Bacteria
Description: partial 16S ribosomal RNA
Rfam family: Bacterial small subunit ribosomal RNA
Source: RNAcentral
UACGGAGGAUGCAAGCGUUAGCCGGAAUCAUUGGGCGUAAAGCGUCCGAAGGUGGCACUUCAAGUCUGCUGUCAAAGGUCGGGGCUUAACUCCGAACAGGCAGUGGAAACUGAAGCGCUCGAGUGCGGUAGGGGCAGAGGGAAUUCCUGGUGUAGCGGUGAAAUGCGUAGAGAUCAGGAAGAACACCGGUGGCGAAAGCGCUCUGCUAGGCCGCAACUGACAACCAGGGACGAAAGCUAGGGGCGCGAAUGGG